This 250-nucleotide ribosomal RNA is filed under the name uncultured bacterium. RNAcentral's name for it is "partial 16S ribosomal RNA". It matches the Rfam family "Bacterial small subunit ribosomal RNA", at positions 359 to 609 of the family's 1533-position model. The record is from RNAcentral.
GGAUGAGAUGGGCGAAAGCCUGACGGAGCGACACCGCGUGCAGGAUGAAGGCCCUCGGGUUGUAAACUGCUGUCAGGUUCUAGGAAUCGCUUGGCGUGAAUAGCGCCAAGUUUGACUAAGACCAAAGGAAGCAACGGCUAACUCUGUGCCAGCAGCCGCGGUAAGACAGAGGUUGCAAACGUUGUUCGGAAUUACUGGGCAUAAAGCGCACGUAGGCGGUUCGUUAAGUCAUGUGUGAAAUCCCCCGGCU